This 96-nucleotide transfer RNA is filed under the name Mycobacteroides abscessus subsp. abscessus. Its description in RNAcentral is "tRNA-Gly(acc)". Lineage: Bacteria; Bacillati; Actinomycetota; Actinomycetes; Mycobacteriales; Mycobacteriaceae. The record is from RNAcentral.
UCAUCGGAUGGGCAACGGUCAUCGAGAUCGUUGGCGACCAGCCAACAUCGGAGUCCCGCCACGUCGGUCAGGAGAUCCUGAGGCCCCUCCGGCGAC